Molecule: long non-coding RNA, 741 nt
Filed under: Homo sapiens (human)
Lineage: Eukaryota; Metazoa; Chordata; Mammalia; Primates; Hominidae
Description: MRN complex interacting protein (ENSG00000283918.2)
Source: RNAcentral
AGAAGAAACUGUCAGUGCCAGUGAAGAAGAAAACGUGGGACACCAGCAGGCUGGGAAUGUGAAGCAGCAGGAAAAAUCGCAGCCCUCAGAGAGUCGCUGGCUGAAGUAUCUAGAAAAGGACUCCCAAGAACUGGAGCUGGCCUGACAUGGAAGGUGAAACAAGGCAGCAGCCCCUGCCUCCAGGAGAACUCUGCAGACUGCAGUGCCGGGGAGCUGAGGGGUCCUGGGAAGGAGCUAUGGAGUCCCAUCCAGCAGGUUACAGCCACAUCCUCUAAAUGGGCGCAAUUUGUCCUGCCACCUAGAAAAAGUUCACAUGUGGACAGUGAGCAGCCAAGGUCUCUUCAGAGGGACCCCAGGCCAGCUGGUCCAGCACAGGCUAAGCAAGGGACCCCCAGAGCACAGGCCUCAAGAGAAGGCCUCAGCAGGCCCACUGCCGCUGUCCAGCUUCCUCGGGCCACACACCCCGUCACAUCUGGGUCUGAGAGGCCUUGCGGGAAGACCUCAUGGGACGCAAGGACUCCCUGGGCAGAGGGUGGGCCCCUGGUCCUGGAGGCACAGAAUCCUCGACCCACACGACUAUGUGACCUCUUUAUAACUGGGGAAGACUUCGAUGAUGAUGUGUGAUCUGGGACUGGCAGGUUAUUAAUCGAGAUACACUUGUUAGGAGGGACAGGGUUCCCCUAAGGCACUUUUAAAGAUACUCUGUAAGAACCAUUAACAAUAAACUUACUGUCAAUCAUU